AUAAGAAGGAGAGAGUUGCAGAAGAGAGAAAUAGAAGAGAGACUCUCUAUUUCUCUUGUUUGGUUAGCAGAGAAAAAAGAAGAGAGAAGACUGCAGCGUGGGUCCCACUCAAAAUCUCUUUCUUCUCUCAACAGCGAAGAAAAUGGAAAGAAACACACUAGUCUUUUUUAUCCCCUUUUUGCCCUUUUCUUUUCAGUUUUCACGGCAAUCUCUCCCGCGCUUCCUCUCCUCCCACCUUUUUAUUCCUUUGGGUCAUUAUCUUCCUCACUUAUCCUUCAAGUUUGGUGAUGGACCUGCAACUUCUCUUGAUCUAUCCUUCUUAGAUCUCUACAGUACCACAUCAAAACCAGAUCUGAAAACUACAAAUCAUAGAAUCAACGUACUGAUAUAUUUGAUGAAGGGCAAGAAGAACCAAUUGUUGACUCAUACAGUCCAACAUAUGGGAAAUCACAUCAAUCCACAUGAACAUCUUGUUCUCGCGGAACAAAGCGUAAGGCUCCAAUGAAUGAUUUGUGGAGGCUCAAUUGGAUAGAAUGACGAGUGGCAUUGGACUCAUGGCUGAUGCUUUGAACAAAGGUAAUUCAAUUUAUGAUCAAUUGCAUGAUGUGGCUAAACAACAAAUAGAAAUAUAUGCACAACAAGUUGCAGCUAUUGAGAAAUGCAACGAAAUCUUGAAAAAUUGUAGACCUCGAGUGUAUACAGGAGCAGAUGUAUGGAAUAUGCUUGAUGAGUUGGAUCAUCUGCUGCCACAAUUUCGUUUUAAGUGCUAUGAAGUUCUUUGCAAUGAUAACAAAAAGAAGGACCUGGUUUUUGGUGUGCCCACUGACAUGCACUUACAUGUUCUCUUACAAAUGAUGAAUGCUAAUUUCUACCAUUGAUGUUAUUUGAUAUCUUUUUGUGUCAUGUAUAUGACUCUUGUGUGUAUAUGUAAUGAGGACACAUUUGGUGCCUAUAAUUAUGCUUGUAACAUGACAAGUAUUUUGACAUGAAAUAUGCGGUAGGGAAAAAAAAAAAGCACUAUGUAGUUGCCACUUUAGGCAAUUGACAGUAGAUGAUAUAUAUAUGAUAUAAUGAUUUUGUGUUA
Medicago truncatula (barrel medic) is the source of this 1084-nucleotide long non-coding RNA. RefSeq lists it as uncharacterized. The record is from RefSeq and is a predicted model, not a curated record. NCBI's taxonomy places the organism in Eukaryota, Viridiplantae, Streptophyta, Magnoliopsida, Fabales, Fabaceae. The transcript is spliced from 2 exons.